This 486-nucleotide long non-coding RNA is filed under the name Malus domestica (apple). RNAcentral describes it as "long non-coding RNA (MDOM_LNC020050)". The record is from RNAcentral. Lineage: Eukaryota; Viridiplantae; Streptophyta; Magnoliopsida; Rosales; Rosaceae.
UAUUGAAUUGAAACAUCGAAGACAUAAGAAAGAUUACACCUAAAACGCUCAAGAAUUCCACUUUGAAUUUCUGCACGUCAAGCUUCUCUUCUUCUUCUCCUUGCUGCGGGCAGAGAUGGUUAAAGGGAUUUUUGGAUGUGGUUUUGGUUUAGGAAUGGAGUUAAGAUGAUAUGGUGGUUCGGCAAGGUGUAUGAAUGGUGGCUGGAAUGGAUGAUAGCUGCGGCAGAGAUGGGAAUAGGGUUUAGACGAUUUCUGAUUUUUGGAGAGGGGGAUUGAUGCGGCUCCGUGUAGAAAAUAAAUAUAUAUGCACUUAAAAACCCUAACAAAUCAGAUUAGGGUUUUUAGAAACCCAAAUCCACCAGAAAAAUAAGUUAAACAAUCAGAAAUUUGGUGAGAAAAAAGGGCCUAGGGUGCGGCAAGGAGUGGGCUAGGGUUAGGGCUUCUAGAAAGCCUUGCAAGGCAAGGAAAUUGGUGUUCUAGAAUGGG